RNAcentral lists this long non-coding RNA (229 nucleotides) under Homo sapiens (human). RNAcentral's name for it is "HSALNT0092996". The record is from RNAcentral. Lineage: Eukaryota; Metazoa; Chordata; Mammalia; Primates; Hominidae.
CCUUUCAGAAGCUUUUUUCAUCUGAUCCUCAUGUCCUUUCAAAGGGAUGUUCACAAGUUUUGAGAACAAAUUUAGGAGUUUGAAGAAAAUGAGAGUAAGUCAUGGAGAGUAGAAGACAUUCCAAAGUGGUAAAUGUAGGCUGAAAAUGUAGCAUCUGAACCUGGGAGGCUCUGACCAUCUACUAUAAACGUGGACCUACUAACUGCAAUGAAGUAUCACAGGACUGUCU